UUUUUGUAAAUAAUUUAAAGUAGGGCCUGCCCMCUGAUUUAAUUGAAGGGCCGCAGUAUAUUGACUGUGCAAAGGUAGCAUAAUCAUUAGUUUUUUAAUUGAAAGCUUGAAUGAAUGGUUUGAUGAAAAAAUUUCUGUCUCAAUAUUAAUAAUAGAAUUUUAUUUUUAAGUUAAAAAGCUUAAAUUUUUUUAAAAGACGAGAAGACCCUAUAGAACUUUAUUAAUUUAAUUUAAAAAUUUUUAGAAUUAAAAAAUUUUUAAAAAAAAAUUAAUUUAAUUGGGGUGAUUAAAAAAUUUAAUAAACUUUUUUUAUAUAAUUACAUUAAUUUAUGAAAAUUUGAUCCAUAAAAAUGAUUAAAAGAAAAAGUUACCUUAGGGAUAACAGCGUAAUUUUUAUGGAGAGUUCAAAUCGAUAUAAAAGAUUGCGACCUCGAUGUUGGAUUAAAAUAAAAUUUUGGUGUAGAAGCUAAAAGGUUAGGUCUGUUCGACCUUUAAAAUUUUACA
Molecule: ribosomal RNA, 504 nt
Filed under: Ortalia horni
Lineage: Eukaryota; Metazoa; Arthropoda; Insecta; Coleoptera; Coccinellidae
Description: partial 16S ribosomal RNA
Rfam family: Bacterial large subunit ribosomal RNA (bases 378-504)
Source: RNAcentral